This 497-nucleotide ribosomal RNA is filed under the name uncultured bacterium. RNAcentral's name for it is "bacterial SSU rRNA". It matches the Rfam family "Bacterial small subunit ribosomal RNA", at positions 28 to 507 of the family's 1533-position model. The record is from RNAcentral.
GACUAACGCUGGCGGCGUGCCUAACACAUGCAAGUCGAACGAGUUGUUUAAGGUAGCAAUAUUUUGAGCAGCAAGUGGCGAACGGGUGAGUAACACGUAGAUAAUCUGCCUUUCAGACGGGGAUAACUCAGGGAAACUUGUGCUAAUACCCGAUGAGACUACGAGGGGGACCUUCGCAGCCAAAGGUGGGCGAAAGCUCACGCUGGAAGAUGAGUCUGCGUCCUAUCAGCUAGUUGGUGGGUAAAGCCUACCAAGGCGAAGACGGGUAGCCGGCCUGAGAGGGUGAACGGCCACACUGGGACUGAGACACGGCCCAGACUCCUACGGGAGGCAGCAGUGAGGAAUUUUCCGCAAUGGGCGCAAGCCUGACGGAGCGACGCCGCGUGAGGGAUGACGGCCUUCGGGUUGUAAACCUCUUUUAUUAAGGAAAAAGGCAAUCGUGCUAACACCACGGUUGUUUGAUGGUACUUAUUGAAUAAGCCCCGGCUAACUACGUG